AGAUGAAUCAGUAAAGAUCUAAAAAUAAAAUAAUUAAGUUAGAACAAUUUUGUAAUGAACAAAUUAUUUUAUCACACUCAGGUAUAGAAUAAUAAAGGAUAAGGCACAACCAUGAAGGUCAUUCUACAUAUUACUAUAUCCUGAACAAAACUACAUUUUCUCAUAAAGUUUGCCUAAUGAAAAAAUUCAUAUUAUGAGAAAAGAGUGGACUAUAAGCAUAGUAAGAAAGCUAAAAAACUAGCAACCUCAACUCUGAUGCUCAAAUUGAAAAACAGGGACUCAAAUUAUAAUAUGGGUGUUGAUUAGAUCAACUCAUGAAUUUAUUAAGCAAUAGCAUUUUUAAUUUCCAAUAUUAAAUAGUGAGCUUAUUCAGGCAAAUUGACUGAUAUUCAAACAACUUACCUUGUGUUGUAGUCAAUGAUAGCAUUUGACGGUUUAACCAAUUUAUCUAUCAAAACCUAAAAAGAUAUAUCUUAGAAAUUAAGUCAUCACUAUGCAACUAAAUGUUCCAAAUUUAAAGAACUAACCGAGUCUCAAUAUAUAACUUGGUUAUCUCAAUUUCUUAAAUAUUGUAAAUGAAACAGAAUAAAAGAAGAGAAAAACAGAAUCUCUAACCAAUAGGAUUUAGUCUUUUACAAACAUAUAUAUAGGUAGCUUCAUCAACAAUUAAAAAGCUAGGCUCUUCUCUAAUGGCCAAAAGAACAUAGAAUUGUUAAAAAUGCAAUUACAAGCACCAUAUCAUAAAGAGUUUUGUAGUCCUUUAAAAUAGUGGUCAUCAUGCCAUGUACACUAUAGCAGUCUUGGGGGAAUCACUGCACCCAAGAAUGAGAUUUAUAACUACUUCCAAGAACAACACGCUUCAUGAAGGGAAGGACAUGGUAAUUUGUAUACAUCUCAAUGGAAAUAGAUUUUAUAAUAAGUAGUUCGAAAAAAAAAUAGUGAAUACCUGUUCUUUGAUGUCCACUAGAGUAAUUCUUGUCAGCUCAAAACCUUCAUUUGUUAUGCACUAAGCAAAUGGUAAAAAAUAGAUUGAUCAAAAUUGCAUAUGACAAGGAUAUAUAUAUAUAAGAAAGGACAUAACUAUUUUCAUUUGUCUCAAUAUAGAAUGAAGGUUUUGGCCAUGCAUGCCAAUAAAACGACUGUCAGAAUAAUUUUAAGUUAUGCUGGAAUAACGUGCAGUUUAAGUACCACAUGUUAAAUGAAUUAGUUUUGAGGAAUUCAAAAUAUUUGGAGAAGUUUAUCAUCAUCGUCCAGAACUUCAUUUCUCAGUGAUAAAAAUAGGUUAGCUUUAAAAUUAAAUUGGUAUUGAUUAACAUACCAUCUCACAAUCAAGUGCAAAUAUCUCAUGAAAAGGAGAUCCUGGAGGUGUAGGCAAAGUAGAAAGAAAACCUGUAAUCAAUCGGGCAGAUAAAAAACUCGGCCAAUAAGAACAACUUCAUAAAGAUUCACAUUUAUAAAGUACCAGAGUAAAAUUCACUUGGCUAAUUGAUGGGUGUCGCACCCCAUGCAAAAUUUAAUGUGAAUAAGAGAAUGCAGUAUAGACUAGGAAGUUACUCCUAGGUCGUCUCUCAAGGACCAAAUGUGGUUCGAGAAUCAGGUCUAACACGAAGUGGGGGGGUUUUGUGAAAGGUUUGUGAAUGCGGAUGAAUCAAAUCAAAACACUGACGCAAACAAAUAAUUAAACACAAAUAUAAAAAUGGUUUCAAGGACAGAAUGGAAACGGUUGGUCAUUAACUUAAUUACAAUGCUUCCUAUCACAGAUCAACACAAUAAAGGAGCUACUCUGACCUCUAAUCCAACAUAGUUAACCAACUACGCGAAGGCUAAUUAUGUUUUCAUAAAAGUGAACUAAGUGAACACAAUGUUAACAUUCAAUCCGAUUUGCACCAUACAAUUUCAUCAACUAAGAGAAGACUCAACACCAACUGGGAAACUAAGUGUAUACCCAAUUGCAAGUGCAAAUACAGAUUUGAUAUUAACCAAGUCAGAGUGGCAAUCACAAUUACAAUCAAGGAAUCUCAAGGAAACAAUGCAAUAUCGCUAAUGACCAACCCGACUAACCUAAGCUAACAUCACAACUAAAUUAACACAAUCGGACAAAAUAGACAACAUGGUGAAUGAAAACAGUAAAUUGAAUGGUCCAAAAACAAGAUGGGUGAACUAAUUAAAAUGCAGCAGAUAAUAAGCAACUAAAUUAACACUAUCGGAAUGCAAUGAUUGAGCAGAAAAAAUAAAAUUCAACAUUCUAUCAAAUCAUAUCAAUAGUGCAGAAACACUAUUUAACGUCGAUUAAUUUGGCCUUUUAACGUCACUUUCACAUCCGACGUCUAUACGGGUGACGUCGCAAUUCCUCAUAACCGACAUCCAUAUAAACGUCGGUUAACGAUAUCCACCGACGUCUAUAUAGACGUCUGCUUAUACUCACACCGACGUCUAAUUACUCUAUAUAGAUGUCCACCUUUGCUUAAACUGACGUCAACAUGAAUAUAUAUUGAGGUUGAAAAUGACACUAACCGACGUUUAUGUUCUUAUAGACGUCCGACCAGGCACUAACCGACGUCUAACAACGACGUUGUGUUUUAGUGCAGUUUUGAUCCAGACUUUGGGUAGCAUUGUGUAACACUAUCCUCUUGCUAGUUUCCCCACAAAAAGAGCUUGCGUCUUUUGAAUCUUCUAUGACAUUCAACCCAAAACCGAACAUGGGUCCAUGACUACUUCCCAUUAUUCAACCGCAAAGGAAAAAAAUUACGGUGAUACGAGAACUAGACAAGGACCCAAGUUCCAUUUUGGGUCGGAAGCCUUAGAAAACUCAAAAGAUCGCACUCUUCUUGUGAGGAAGCAAGCAAAGGGAGAAUGUUACACUAUAUUACCCAAAGAAAGGAUCAAAACUACACUAAAACACAACAGAAAGAAAGCAAAUUUUAAUCAGUUGAACGACAAGAUAAUCGAUAAAAAACUAAAGAAAGUUUAAACGGUAAGCAUAAAAAAAACCACGCACUUGGGAUGCAAGAGAGAAAAAGGAGAGGACGAAGACAGUGACGUUAUGAGAAAAAGUAGAGGUGCGCAAGCGAGUAAAAGAAGAGGAGAAGCAGAGAAAAAGGAGAAGAGAUGAAGACGCGAUCAGAAACUGAAUGGCGAGAAUAGUCCGCGGUCUAUUUUAAAUGAAAUGGGGCGUCAGUUGCUCCAGAAACCAACAUCUAUAGACGUCGAUGUUUUAGGGGAUCCGACGUUUACAGACGUCGGUGUUUCAGGUGAUCCGACGUCUAUUCUACGUCAAGAAGCUGAAAAGAUUGACGUUUGAUUUCCUGUCAGGGGUAGUUCAUGUCGGUGCCCCUCCUAGCCGACGUCUAAAACCCUCGAAUUUGGUGAAACUAAUCAAUUACAGGAACUUAGACGUCGCUUACGUUCAGAACCGACGUCUAAAUUGAAGAAUUUUUGUCUUCUCGCCUUCCAGACAGGCCUUAGACGUCGCCGUUUGAUUAUGUGACUUCUAAGCGCCUGAGAAUUAGGUGAACAACAUUAAUUGUAGCCUAGUCUCGUCGAGUUUUCAGGGGAUCCGACGUCUAAAGCUGAACUGGUUGACGUUUGAUUUCCUGUCAGUGACUUGAACGUCGGUGCCCUUUUCUAGCCGAUGUCGAAUUGACUGUUUUAUCACAUACCUCAGGGUCUUGGACGUCGGUUUGCGGCAGGUGCGACGUCUAUGAUGUCACAGACGUCACCUAACAUCGAAACUGACGUCUAAGUUACUAAUAUAUCUACGAUAAUGCCACCGUGCAGUAAUAGACGUUAGUUUUUUACUAAACCGACGUCUAAGGGGUGACGUUAAACAACGUUUUUGCACUAGUAUUCAUCAAGGAACAACUAAAAAGAAAAAAAAAAACUUAAACUGUAAAGGAUUUAACCAAAUUCACUAGUGCAAAAUAGGCUUUUUAAGUCUGUUAUUUCGGGCUUUUUAAGUCUGUUUUACGACAAACUUAGAUUCGGCAGACUUAAAUUUUAAGUCUGUUGUUGACUAACAGACUUAAAUUUUAAGUCUGUUGUUGACCAACAGACUUAGUUCUUUGUAAGUAAAUAGGGCAGCGAAUUUAAGUCUGUCAUGACCAUAACAGACUUAAAUUUGUUUUUUUUUAAUUAUAUUUGUUUAAUCAUGAAACCAAAACCUAAAAUAUAGAAAAGUUUCCAGAACAAAAUAUAUAUUUCCAACUGUUCAAUUCAAGUACAUAAUAAAAAGUUCCAAAAUCAAAAUAAAUAAUAAGAUAUCUAAUUCAAAAUUUGUAGUCUAAACAAAGUCUAACUUAAACUUUUAAGUUUAAACAUAAGCUAAACAUAACUUAGCAACACCUAAUAAAAACCUAAUCUUCACGUUGGAGGAUAUAACUUGCCCAUUGAUGUGUUAUUUCGGCCAUGGCCUCCUUUGAUAUUGGUGAUGGAUCAUCGAACACCUAAAACAAACAAUGUUGUUAUGUAGUGGCCUAUAUAAAACUAUAGAAUUCAUGCAUUAGUUAUAAGUGGCUACCGUGGUCCAGUUAUCAUAAAUUCCAGCUUGAAUGAUAGCUUUGAUCCAAUACAUCACGUAGUACCCACAUUUCCAUCAGCUAAUUUGUUUGUUGCACUGUAAUAAAAUAAAGGAAAAUUCAUAUCAUAUAAUUUAUAGACAAAAUAAUUAAUUUAAGAAUUGAAUGAUAUCUCACCUUAGGAUAUACGAUUUAAAAUUGCUUUUGUCUGUUCCUUUGACAAAAUGUUUGUGUCACCCACAACUCUGGUUAAAUUGAUGACACAUAAGUCAUAAAUGUUAUGUACUUAUUAGAUGAAAUGAAAGUUGUACCAUUACCCUUAUAGUAAGUUCUUUAGUUCGUUGUUCGGCUUCUUAUGAAGAGAACAAAACCAGACAACUAUGCAAUCUUCAGGAAUGAUGACUAUUAGCUACCAAUGGGACCUACAAUGAAGGACAAAUGAUUAUUUCAAUAAUUACAAUAAGUUUGAAAAAGAAAAGCUACGUUUGGUAAGACUAACCCUUCAAUGUGUGGAGCCAAGUAAACACGUCUUUGGGAGGUAGACAUCCAUGUUUGCAUGUAUUGUUGUAUGUUAACCUUUGUGUUCCCGGAUUUUUGAAUGGCUUGGGGCUAAAGAAAUCCAUAUACAUGUGGUCGACUUUGCUCCACACUCAUUGUAUCCAUAUACCUAGUACAAAGAAUUAUAAGUUAAAUGUUGUAGAUUUUUAUAUGGUAAAUAUAUAAGAGGCAUUACUACUUACAUGAACCAUAGUUGGAUGAUAGAAAUGUUUAACAUCCGUUCUCCACCAAUUAACUCAAAUACAUCAUUGAAGUUAAUGUAAAUCGGUACCGUACUUUCAAAUCCAAAUACUCUAAAGUCUGGUCGAACUACUUUUGAUUUUUUCUUCAACCUAGGCAACAUGGCAAUGAGCUUUGACAUAGGAUCAUCUUCCAUUUCUUCCAUGUCAUCAUCAUUUUCAUGAACAACAGGAUCUCGCACCUGCUUUUGACGUCGGGAUAACUGAAAUAAAUAUAUGAAACAAUUUAGUUCAUUAAUUUAUAAAUUACAAAAAAAAAUUAUUAAAGAAUAAAAUUUAUUACCUGUUGUUGCCCAACAUAUGGCAGGAUUAGAUUUCUAGGCCAAGUCACAAAUGUGCCUAAAGCCUCUCCUACAAAUUGAACCUCUGUAGUUGACAAAGGUAGUCGUGCAUUUGGAUCUCAAACUUCAUCAACCACCACACUAUUCUUUGUUCUUUUUUCUUCCUCUCAUAUCCCCACUCUAAUUUAGGUAAAUGUUUAUUAUCACUGCAUUUACUUUUUGGUAGUAACUUAACAGAAAUAUUUUUAACUAAAAAGCAAAUUCGUAGCAUACACCAUAUCAAAAGUGUGGGAAAUGUAUAUUUUUACAGUAAAUACAUUUAANAAUAAAUUUCAAUUAUUAAUAAAAAUUUAUCUAAAUAAAUACUUUUAAAAAUACUCAAAUUUACAUAAUAAAAAAAAAACAAUAAAAUCGUUUGUCAAAAGGACGAACCAUAUAAAAGUGUAAACAAAUAUAUAUUUUAACAAUAAAAGAGUCGGUCAAUCAUUUCACCCAAAUAUUGAAUGGUGGAACAUAUCGAAUUAAUUAUUAUGCACGUUUUGAUUUGGUUGUACAGUGGAUGGCGUGGACAAGUAAGAGCAUAGUAUAAUCUUUCCCCAUGAUCUUUUGAAAAGUACAAGAAAAUCCGAAGAAAAAUCAUACGCACCAAAUUCGCAACCUCCACUCUCUUUAUACAUUCCAUAUAAUUCUAUUUAAUAUUCAAAUCCAUCUAACAUUAAUUCACUUUAACCGAAAGAUAUUUCCAACACGGAUAGCUAUAAAAUAAUUUAUUUUAACAUUAAUUUAAAGCUUUAAUUUACAUCAGUAAAAUAAGAGAAUAAAUUAAUCUUAAUUGACAUAGAUAAAAAAUAUUCUUAUUAAUAUUAAUUAUAAUUAAUGUUAGUUAAGAAAUUAUAAGUUCUUAUUUGAUAUAAGAAAACCUAAAUGACAUGAACUAAAACGUAUAACACUAUAUGUGGACGUUGAUUGAAAAAAUUGUAGGUGACAGAUACCAUUUAAUAAAUAUUGUUAAUAUUGAUGCAAAAGAAAAUCUAAAUUGAUUGAUAUGAUCUUUAAGAAAUUAUCUCCUAUGAUGAUAAUAGAAGACAAAAAAAAUUCAUUGCCAUAAAACUAACGAUGCUUAACCAGUCACAUAUUGAUUUACUUGUGAUUUUGGUAAUAUAAACAAUUGAANUUCAGUGAAAAAUAUUUUUUAAUUCUUACUAAAACACAUAUGACAGUUUUGUUUUUGUAAAUAUCUUGUCUACAAAGAAAUCAAUCUAAUAAAAAUCAUACCAGACUAAGUCUAGUUUUGACAGGAAGAAGAGAGAACAAUAGAAAGCAAAAAGACUGAAAAAUGGGAAACAAGCACAUCAACCAUAUGAGAUUGCCCAAAUUCAUAACAAUAUCUUCACUGUUUGCAACAUCAUCACUGUCAAGUAGCCAUUCCACGCUCUUUCGAGAUCUCGUUUUCAUUUUUUUUUCACUAAUAGUGCUAUUAUUAACAUCUCACUGAGUCAUUUUUCAUUUCCUAUACCAAACCCUAAUCGCUUAUUGCAUUCUAUUACUCAUGAAUUUAAUUCUAAUUCAAAAUACCUUGGUCCUAUCACCGAAUAAUCUAAAUAGUUUGNCCUUNCUUCUUAUCAUUCCAACUACCCACCCUUUCACUUUCAUAAGAAGAUUUGUAAUUUAAAACAGAGUACACACAACUUCCAUGUAAAAAAAAACUUAGUUCAUCGUACCUGUAUGUCACUGAAAUAAGGUUGUUAUUGUUGAAGAAACGUUGUUACAGGUAAUGAGCAGGAGUGUAAAGGUUGAAAAGUGAAAAAUGUUUCCAGAGUUAAAAGUGAAGUGAGAAUGAGCAACAUAAAAUGUUUCCAGAGUUAAAAGUGAAGUGAAAAUGAGCAACGUAACGUAGGUUCAGGUUAAAAAAGUUUUUUAAGUCUCUUAAAAAAGUCUUUUUUAAGUCUCUUAAAAAAAUUAUAUAUGUAAAAGUAUUCAAUUAUAUCUUUUAGAAAAUGAAGAGUCACUUUUUUAAGUCUUUUAAAAAAGUAGCAGAUGUAAAAAUACUAAUUUAAGUCUAUUAGAAAAUUAACAAAUUUAAAAUUAUAUUUAUUUAAAUCUGUUAGUCAACAACAAACUUCAAUAACUAACUUUUAUUUAUCAAACUGCCACCGCACAUCUUUUAAGUCUGUUUUCUUGUGAACAGACUUAAAUUCGUAGGCUUAAAAGGUCUAUUUUGCACUAGUGAUUGCUGAAAGGUAACGUUGAUUAUUGAAAGAUGGAAGGGUGAAUUAGCGAAAGUAAUUAAAACAUUAAUUGAAACCGUGUACAUAUUUCUUCCAGGACUUAAUGUGUAUGCUCAAAAGCUUCAUGAAAUAUCUAAAUGAACGUCAGCUAGACCCAAGAUUAAAAAAAAAAAAAAAACACAAACCAAAAUGAAAAAAAAAAAAAAAUUCGUGCUCGACUUAUAUAUGAAAGAUGAAAUGCUUAAAUAAAUGACCAUGCCACCUCUUGCUUAAAUCAAAUGAGCAUGCUGCUUUUCUUCCAGGACGUGGCACCACACCACCAAAUUCAAUGCAAAUUGUAGUGUUUUCCAAUUAAUCACCGAAUGUGACCAGCUCCAAAAAAAAAAAAAUACUUCCGCACCGUUCCAGCCCAAAUUGUGCACCGUGACUUCCCUUCUCCAAUUAAAAAAAUUGCUUUCCUUUCAUCCCAUGAUCAAACACCGUCAAGAUAAGGUCCAAAGCAAGAUAAAAAGAAAACAUUCCAACACCGUUUCUACAAAGGAAAUCUGCAUUUGCAACUAUCUAAAAAUAAGCAAAAUAAAAUAGCAAUUUAUCCUAGCACCUCAACAAAGGAAACACGUUCCCAGACCACUUUAAUCUGUCGAGAAUGUCUAAUAAAAAAGUGUGUGGCAGCCUCCUAGAAAAAAAUAUGACGGCUGGACUCCUUCCCUAGGACCAUGUGUCCUAAUAAAAAUGGAUGGGGUUCACCUUAAAAAAAAAAACCCCUAACUCAUGUGUCCUCUACUAUUUGGACCCAUCAUAAAUUUGUUAACAUUGACCCAAAUGUGCACAAGUUUAAUUACAAUUAUUCUAUACUACUAAGUUACAAUAUAAUUAAAUUUAAAAUGUCUAAAGAGUCUUGACUUAUUUGAUAGCACUCCAAAUGUCCCAAAUUAUAUUUUCAAAAUUUUCCCUAAAAAUAAUAAUGCUAAUAAUUAGCUCAGAAAAUUAAAAUUAACUAAAAUAAGAAUUUCCGAUUAAAUUAAGCAUAAUUAGAGAAAACGGGAAAAUACCGAACAAUUAAGUACAAUACCUGAUUAAAUUCGAUACAAUAAAUUAAGCAAAGUCAAGAAAAUGUUGACUCAUCACUAAUUAAAAGAAUAUCCAUUCUCUUCCGGCUCUUUCUUAGUUAGUGUAUAGUAUGUAACAGGGAAAGGUAUGUCUUUCUUAAGCUCUGUAAAUGUUAGACUGUCCGCAUCAUGAGAACCUUCUGCAUCAAGAUUCCACAUUUCAUAAAUCAAUUUAAUUUAUAGCGAUAGCAAUGCAUUAAUGUUUCUGCCAUAAAGAACAGUUCAAAGAAAGUUGCUAUAAGUGAAAAAACAACACACUAUACAGUUUAAUUUGAAUUGUCGUUCAAAACCUUUUUCGUUUAAUUUAUAGAAUAAUAAUCUUAAAAUGAUUUAAAAUUAAGACAAAUGAAAUCUCACAGACUUACGUCACAAUUGAGAGUGAACCAUGACAAGUUAAAACAUAUAUAGGUGGUCUGAGUAUAUAUAUAUAUAUAUAUAUAUAUAUAUAUAUAUAUAUAUAUAUAUGCGUAUAUGUGUAUAUAUGUAUGUAUAUUAUAAGCAGUGUCAACAUAUAUCAGAAGCCAGAACAAAGGUUAUAAAAUGGUUUUGCUAAUUUAUGCUUAAAACUCCAAGCAAAUAAUAACAAACUAGUACCUUUAUAGUCUCUGAGCUAAUCCAAUUCAGAAUCAUGACUGGCCAUAGAGAACAGGUCGUAGGAGUUGUUAUCAUUAGAGCUGGACAUAAUUAACUUAUACUAAACUAUAAAUUAUCCAUACUCUAUUAUACUAUAAAAACUGAACUACCUUUAGUAAAAACUGAAUUGUACUGUUUUGUAGUUCAAUUUAAGAAAAUUGAACUUUUAUAUUAGUAGUUCAGUUAACUUAGUUAACUGUUUUCAAACUAUAAAAAAAUCCAACUUGGUUAAAACAAAUUACAGCUCCACUAUUAUUUAUGUUUUAUCAAAUAAUUUAUUGAAAACUGAUUUUAAAUAAACAAAUAUCCUAAAUUAAAUUUCUAAAAGAACAAUUUUAAAAAAAUAUUCUAAAAAUUUAAAUAAACUUUUCAAACUGAAAUAUUUUUAAGACAAAAGAAAAAGCACAUUAAAUAUUAUUUACAAAUCGAUAUGAAUUAUUUUCUUCUGAUAAAUUUAACUUAGUUAUUUAUAUUAAUUUAUAUUUGUAUAUCUAUCUUUUCAUAAUUAUAUAUCAUGUUUGUUUAUUUUUAUUUUUAUUUUUACUAAAAAUUAUUAUAUUAUUAAAAAUUAUAAAUGGAUAGAUUUUGACUAAAGUGUUUUUUAUAAAUUUUUUUUAAUAUAAUCUAUGAAAUUAAAUUUUAUUUAAGUUAAGAAUUUAAAUAAACUUUUUAAACUUAUUCAGAAAUAGUUUUAAGAUAAAAAGAAAAGAAAAGACAUAUUUAAUAACUUUUACAAAUUGGUAUGAAUUAUUUUUUUUCUCAUAAAACAUGUAACUUAAUUAUUUGUAUGUUUGCUAUGCCAAGUAGAGUAGAAUUGUAAUUUAUUUUGGUUACUAUUGUACGGUAUACUAUUUGGAACAGUUAACUGAAGUUAACUCCUAAUAGGAAAGUUCAAUUUUUUUAAAUUGAACAGCAUAGUAGUAUAGUUCAGUUUUUUAUAAAAAUAGUUUAGUUUUUAUAGUAUAGAUAUAGUUUAGUACAGUUACACUAAUUAUGCCUAGCCCUAGUUAUCAUUGGAUGCAGCAGAGGCACACCGACGUAAAAAUAGAUCUACAUGUAAGAAGAUUUUCCUUUUCAAUAAUCUUUCGUCAGUUAUAUAGAAAGACUUUAAGGUGGACAAUGAAGGCAGAGGAAUCAAUCAUAAAGAGAUAAAAAGUAUAUGUGAAACAAGGUAAACCAAAUGCUGUGAUAUUUCACCUAUUCAUGGACUCACCUUGCAUCAAUUAUUUCUAGCAAUUAUUUCGUUGGAUGAAGGAAUGAUUUUACAAUUUGAGGCAUUUGGAGAUUAAAUGUAGUGCAACCAUCACCCACUUGUAAUUUAUCUGCCUUGA
RNAcentral lists this long non-coding RNA (10893 nucleotides) under Vigna radiata. RNAcentral describes it as "long non-coding RNA (VRAD_LNC010159)". Lineage: Eukaryota; Viridiplantae; Streptophyta; Magnoliopsida; Fabales; Fabaceae. The record is from RNAcentral.